GGCCUGUUUGAGCAGGCAUUGCAAAUCUUAAAAACAAUAAGAUGAAUAAUCAUCACUGUUUGAUCACUGCCAUUUAUUGAGUACCUUCUCCAUGGCAGAUGCUAAGAUAAGACCUAACAUGCAUCAUCUCUGAUUUUACAAGUCUUCGAGGUUGCAGCCAUGAAAAUGCCCUGGUCAGCCAUGAUUGACCAUGACAGGGGUACUAGUGCAGGCCUGUUCCUGCUGGACAUGGAACCCCUCUAAUGGCUUAAGGACUCCCACUGGCUGGCAGAAACUUUCUUAGAACAACACUGUAGUCUAAGACUCUUCCUACUGAAUUCUCUUUCCUUCUCCCUCUCCUUUCAUGGGGGUCAGGCCUGCACUGCAGUCUGGGGCUUCCUCUGCCUACUUCAGUUCCUUCCUGAACAUUUUACAGGUGUUUCCCCCAAUAAUUCUCUUAUAUGCCUAAUCCCAUCUUGGUGCCUGCAUCUCGAAGGAACUAACACAGUGGACAGGAGUCCCAUUUUGCAGACAGACACUGGAUCAAUGAUGAAGUUACUUGUGUAAGUCCUACAGCCAACAAAUGUUAAGAGCUGGGGUUGUGUGCAGGUAUGUUUGAUUCCACAAGCCAAGUCUUAGAAGCAUACUAGGCUUCCUCUCUAAUGAUCUAUGCAGGCUUAACUGUGAGGACAGGGAGUGAUGACACAUUUCAGUUUGGCCCCUUUGUUUUGUCGAUGAGAAACCUGAGACCAGUGAGGGAAAGGAUUCGCCCAUGGGUGCCAGUGGGAGGGGUGCACCUGGGCUGUGCACAGCCAUUUCCCUCCUUUGGAGGCUGAGGGAGGAGGUCACAGGGAGGCCUCAGGGUAUGGAGGGAGGUCAGGCUGGGGGGCUUAGUGUCUGACCCACCAGCCUGGCAGGCGGGAAUGUGCCUGUAGAAGCCCACGGCCCUCUUGGGGAGAAGCCAUGAAGUGAGGACUGAGUGCUGCCUGGAGGUGCUGGCUGGGAUGCACAGGGAAGAGCUGUCAGGGUAUGGGUCUAACACUGGAACAGCUGGGGGACAUUCCCUGGAUAUCCCUGCAUUGCCUUGAGGCUCUCCCAUCCCUGUUUGAUCCGUAAGCUCCAAGGAGACAUGUUUCCCAGCCAUAAUGCCUUCUGAUCCCAAUCUCUUCUACUCUUUUCAUUGGCAAGAGUCAUUCUCACCCGGGUUUUCUUAUAUAAUAAUUAUAAACUCAUUCAGGGCCUGUGAGUGAAAAGGCACACAUAUACAUUCAGGUCUAAUAUUCACUGAGCAACCAUCAGCACAAUGGUAUGUGACCUCUUUGAAUGCUGCACUAAUGCUCCACUGUCUAGAAGGAGGCCAGACUGCUCUGGGGACCAGGUGCAGAGGGUGCCCUCAAGUGUCUAGUGUCAGAGAGAGAGGGGCUACUCCACUUUGGCCAGGGUGAACUUGAGUUGGUGAUGACAAACAUCUGCAGCUAGUCUAUUUUUCUAAUCUCACCCUCCAAACAGCCCCAUCUUCUUGCAGGGAGGAUGGGUGAAGGCAUUUUCAAAAAUGGACAUCACAUGUGACAAACAGGCAAAGGACCCUGACAGAGCCACAAAACUGACACGCUCAUGAAAACUCAGACCGCUGACAAUGGUGAGCGCCGACCAAUUCAGCGCCAGGCGUGGAGGCUUCUGGCAAGAGUGGUGGGCUCUGUGCGUCCUGAUGGUGGCAGCAGAGACCAGCUUGGGAGCCACCUGGCUCCUCUGCCCUAGCCCAUUAUGGCCUGAAUCCAAUCAAUUUCAGUUCUCAGCACUUCUGAAAACGUGCGUGGCUUAGAGUGUCUGGCAGGGCUCAGGAGAGAAAAGCAUUUCUCAGCCCCGGGACACAUAUAUGCCUCCAGGCACUGGUUGUGGCUUGCAAUCUGGGAGGGCAGGUGAACGGACACCCUCCCUCCUUGCACAGGCCUGGGAUCUGCCUUACUCAACUCCCACUUCUACCAGGAGCAGAGGAUCACCGCUGCCCAGCACCCCGCCCAUCUGAAUUCUGACUCUGGUGGCUUCAGAGAAGCAAGGUAGGGGCCAGUGCUGGUAUGAAAUGCCAGAUGAGAGGAAACUGAUGCAUGCACUUUACUCCUGACUCAGAGUGCCUGAAAUAUCUGGCAAACUGGCAAAGGAUGAAACCCUUCUUUGAGGUCUGUAGAGUAGCUUUAAGAUAAAUGAAGCCACUGAGAAGGUCCAAAACAAGGGGCCCUUAGACGUGGAAGAGGUCUGCUUUCCUGAUAACUAGAGUGGUGCUGGGCUAUGAAAACAGUCCAAAUAGAUGAGGAUAGUUCCUGAGAGCACAGGGUUCUGAAGCUGGACAAAUAUUCUUCCACCUUAAUGGCCCUCUCACUGGAGCCUUCACAGGGUUAACGAUGGUCCCGCAGGAGUUGGGGCCAUGACUGAGGACAUGGAGCUGAUGUGGAGGCAGUCAGGGCCAAGGCAAGAGCCUCCUUGUGUAUAGUGGAAACGCAAGACAGACAUCAAAGGGAGUGGGGUGUGCGGUUCCCAAGGGGCUACCAGAGUCCACUUUUAUUAAAAGUUUGUGUCUUUCUUUAGAAAGUAAUAUGUUCCAUCUCCAGCACCUGAAGGCUCCUUUCAGGGUGCCAGAAGAAUCCUCAAGGGACAGUCCCAGGCUGUGUCCUUCCUCCUGUCUUGGCUGACAUUUUUAUGCAUGGUUUAGGCAGCCCAUGGGCUUUCCAGCUUUGCAAUAAGAUCUGAUCUAAUUUCAAGCUUAUACAUAACAGAAGGGCUGGGGGAGAAGUAGGAGUUCUUUUAGAAUUGCAAAAUCCAGGUGGGUGUAGCCUGUGGGGUGCAGGCUAUCCAGCUCAAAGAGGGAGGCCCAUAUCUCAGAUUCCCUAAUGCUCGGCACAGUGUCUGGCACACAAUGGGCACACAGGAAAUCCUGCACUGAAUCAAACAGAUUUUGUAUUACCAGAUCUAGGCUGACUCACUGUGUGGUCAGGACCUUGGGUCAAUCACUUCACCUGGUGACUCACUCCCUACCUGUAAGGUGUGGAGGACAGCUGGAGUCACUGUGGCACCUGUGUGUUUAGCAGUGUGUUUGCUUGUUCCUGCUUUUAUGUCUCUGGCUGGUCUAAGAUGGAAUGAUAAAAAAAUAACGGAAUGCACUUUGUAAACGAGAGCAUCCUAGACACAUGUAAAGAUUGGAAAAUUAGAAAGCUGUCUCUACUGUAGUUACUUCUCAGAUAUGACCAACCAUUAUUAAGAAUUCAUUGGCUAAUAGGGCUACAUUUUCUCAUGAUCAUUCUUCUGUUUUAGAAGUGGGCAACUGCAGUUUUAAGAAUAAAUGUGUAAAUGUGUGUUUUCAUGAGAGACAAUAAAGCUGUUUUCAUUAAGAAUGAAAUAUGCAACUUGCAAACACUUUUACUUUUCUUGAAUUGGGUCCUUCAGCAGAAGCAGUUUGCCCAGCCCUGACAUGGAAAGUUUACUUUGCUCAUCAACCUGAAGGAGACCGAAAGCUAUGAGAGGCGGCUCCUGAAAAGAAUCUAGACUCCGGAUAUAAAAAGAUCUUGCAACACAAGGCCAAGUGGAAAUCAUGGUUCGCAUUAAAGGCAUAAACCUCCUGCACUAACAACCCAGAGCAGGAGGAAAAGCUGGGAGACCUGGCUCAGCAGCCUUCCCUGAGGGAAGCCUUCGGGGCUUUGUUCCUCUUGAGAUCAGGGCAAGCCUAUGUAUGACCUGAAGCCAAUACAACCAGCAGAGCUGAUGCCAGUGCUGGCUGCCUGAGUGCUACUAAAGAAAGAGUCCACCAUCGGCUCCCUCUUCCGUAGCCAGACACAGGUGGAAUGCUGUGCUUCCUUUUGGGAGACAAAGCAGAAGCUACCCCAGAGGGGGCAGAUGGGAGACAGGCCCAGGCAAUGCAGCCCUACAAAGAAGACUUGAAGGGCCGGGGCUGAGCAGCUUGGAUGAAGAGAAGGCUGCCUUUCAGAGCUGUUUCAAAUGUUUCAGACGUUGCUAGACAAACUAGAGUUGUAUGGCUUCAGAUGGCACAGCUUAGGGCCAUAGAGUGGGAAUCACAAGAAGGCAAACUUUAGGCCCCCAGGAGAGCUGGACAACAACCUGGAGGGUCAGAGGAGAAUGGGCUGUCCAAGGAGCGGGGAUAUGAGGGUGGGGCAGUGUGGCCAUCCCUGGAAGGGGUAAGGGAGUGGCAGAUGGUAACCAUUUGGGGUGGGGUGUGGCUGAGGAUUCCUGCAAGGCUAUCAGAGAAACUCUAAGAAUCAUAAGAAUCAAAGCUCAAGUACAUGAGGGAAGACAUAAUGAAAUCCCUAAAGUUCUGAGAGGUUGUACCAGAUUCUUUAUGGAGAAUACAGAGAGAAUGCCUCCUGACUCCUCAUUCACAGAGUGCCAGGCAGCAGCAAGGAGAAGCUGGUGGCCUUGGGAGGGCAAAAACUAAGGACAAGGUCCACAAUGCAAUCAGCUCACAUCACCUACGAACAAAUAAAGUGGGGUGGGGGUGGAGAGUUGCUAGAGUUUACGUAACUCUCAAGCCUUAAUUUAGCUGCAAGAACUAGGUUUUUGCCAAAGCUAUAGAACUUCCCACCAGAUGAAAGCUUUAUCUCUUUUUCUUUCUUAGGAGAAGAGAGACAGAAGGAGAGAAGAGGGGCAGGAGGAGAGAAAACACAAGAAAGAGGAUGGAAGAUAAAGAGGAAGGCCAGAGUGAGGCAGGAGAAAGCUGAGCUGGAACCUAACUCCUGUUGAUCUGCUGCAGAGACCCUCUCAUUCCACAAUUGCUCCCGCCAUGGUAAGCUCCAUUCCUAAUUACCUAGGCAAACUGGCCUGCAUUUCUCUCCAGAGUUCUAAAGGAUGGUGUGAGAGUGUCUGCCAAGAUUUGGAUUUUACAGAGACAAGUCUCAGCUUUUGCUUUCUGGUUCAAGGUUUAUGCUUUUGGAAGGCUGUGAUGACAGCAGCAGGAAAUAGGACAAAUAGGAGUUUUUGUUAGGGGGGCAGCUAAUAGAACAGCCUCAUGAAGGACCUAGGCACACCCUAGAGAUGCAAGGGACAGGCCUGCAGUGGUGGCUCCUAUAAACCCAGUGCACUGAAUCCCCAGAGCUUGCAGCCCAUGGCUUGGGGUCUGGUCCAGUGCACUCGUCAGAGAGCAUAACAGGACCUUUGGGACUCCUAGGGAACCUCUUGGAGAGUCCUGGGACCUGCCUAAAGUACCUGACUUGAGCACACCAGCAUCUGUGUACCCUUAGCUUCAAAUUCUCCAAAGCCAGAAAAGGAAAAAGACACAAUGUCCUGGCCUGAUCAUGCCUGAGAAUCACUUACCUAAAAAGAACAUUGGGGCUUUUGACCUGACAUCCUCCCAGGCAUGCUGACAUCUCUCAGCACUUUCUCUCCCCUCACAAAAGAACUUGUUGAGGAGGAAGGAGAAGAGGCAGCGGCUAGUGGUUAGCAGAGACAGUGGCCAAGUGUCCAGGAAGAGGGGAUGGGCAGGCCUACCUGAGGAAGGGCUGAUGUCUAAGGAGGGGGUCUGCUCCCUCUGGCACACAGCCUGCCUGCUCCUGAGACCCUGUGGCUUCUCCUGGAGCACUGUGCAAAGCUGCUUGGUAUUCUCACUUGGUUCUGUUGGAUGGCUGCAAAGCUGUCUGGCCCUGCUCUCCUCAGUUGCCAAAGGUUCACUGCCGGCUCCAGUUUGCCUGGAACGAAACAGCUCAGGCAACACAGCUGUGCAUCCUUGUGAGACUGCCUAAUUUCCCAUUUCAAGGCAGGAUGCCAUACCCCAAGGUGUAAUUUGAGUUUUGGGCAUAAGCUGAAUUUUGCAACUGAAUUCUGAAACUCAGCCCUCCAGGCUGUGCGUGCUUGGGAAUUAAAAAGCUUUCUUCUCCUUUUCCCUCCUCCACUAUCUACCACCCUCCCCAAUAUCAAUACUGAUACCAUCAUUAAUGUUAAAUUUCUAUUUAUUGAGUGUCUACUAUGUGCUAGGCACUUGUAUGGCUGCACCUGACAGCAAUGGCUUACCUUAAGCCUAUCCUGAGAAUGACACUAUGGUCUAAGAAGAAUGUGUGCUUGGAAUUCCAAGCUAAGAAAUCUGGAAGUGGCCGAUCUGGAGAUUCAUUCCUUACUUAUGGGAAACAUCUAAACCUCUGGCCCAUUUCAUGGAAUGCAGGCUGUACAGGGGACUGAAGCCCUUUGUUUUGGGUUAAAUGAAAGUUGACAGGUGGAGGUUGUUAGGGGGAGGGCGCUAAGUGAAAAUGCUAUAUCAACUGCAUGCUUUUUACCAGCAGAUGCAGUUCUAUCCAGCUCAUCACCACUGGACUCCUCUGUAUGUGAGUCCCCUCAAUAAACCUGAUGUCUCAUUUGCUGGCUGCAGGUCUCUUUUUCAGCCUGUUGAACAUGGUACCAUCACUACUGAAGUCAACAAGGGUCCAGCAUGACAACACUGUACUAAUCAAUUUCCCUGUAUCAUCUUAAUCUUCACAAAACCCUAUGAGGUAGAAAAGGACAAAUCUUAACCCAUGUCCUAUGUGAUUAUAAGGGUACUCACCCUCCACCUUUUAAUUAUUCUCUUUUGGGCUACAAAUCUGUGGAUCUGCAUACCUGAAUGAUUCACUGUGGCUUUCUGGUAGAAAAACUAAUAACACCAUUUGUCCAUGUCAAGCCAAGGAGACAAGCUCAACAUACAAAGAACAAGGAGAGAACAAUGGAAGAUGGCCUAUAAUUCAGAAGCACAUUGGGUGGAGCAUAUUGCACAUGUAGAAGCUUGUCACGGAACCCAAGAAAGCUGGAGGAACCUGGGAAGGCUUCCUGGAAGAAGGGAAAGCUGAGUUCUCUUAUCACCACUCCACCAUUUGUUCAUGUCCUCAUGUACAUAUUCAACAAACAUUUAUUGAGGGCUGAGUGUGGCUUUGUGUAUCCCAGAUAAACUAGUAUCCUGAUCUUAGCCAUGGAUCUCAGCUGCUACUAUCUCAUUCCCCACCAUGGGCAAUAAGAUGCAUACUGGUAGGGAAAAUUCUGGCAAAUUUUGUAAAGUUUAUCCAUAGGCAUAAACACUUUACCCUGUGUUAUGCUCAGAAGAGGAACACACAUUUAUUAAGCACCUACCACAUCUGCAAAUAACUUUACUCCCAAAAACUGAUUUGAUACUUAAGCAGCUUUUGUAAGGUGUGUUUCAUUCCCUAAAACUAAAGUUCAGAGAGGUUAAAAGAUUUAUCCAAGGUCACACAUUCAAGGUGGAGCCAAGAUGCACAACUAAGUCUAUUACUGUUUUUUUCAUACUCCCCCACUUCUCUGUCUCCCUCUUUCUAUUCUCAGCUGCAGACUCUGCCAGCUGCAAACUUCUUUAGUAGUUAUUCCUGAUUACUUCUGCUCCUGGUGAGCUCAUCACCUGAUUAAAGGGCUCCUAGCUUCACCAGACCUUGGAGAUGACAAACAGAUGACCCUGGAGAGGCAGGCUCUCUAGGGCUGUUCCAUUUUGGUCUGGCCCCCAUUCCAGCCGGGGAUAUAGUUCAAACCCUGACUCUGAGUUGAGCCCAAGAAAAUAAGACCAAGAUGAAAGCUUAAGUGCAUCCCCUGAAAGGCUCUUAUCUCCAGGCUAAGCUUGGAAGUGGGGAGACAGAGCACCACAACCCAACUUGGGGAUGUUGUCUCUUGUAGAAACACCUUCCUCAGUAACAGAAGGGUAGCUGCCCCUAUGUCCUAGAGAGCGGGAGUAAGAGAAAGUGGCUCCUUGCCUCUGAGAUUUGCUUAGCUGAUCCUCCCUCACCCCAACCAUAGCUCUUAACAAACCCAGGUACGCAUAAAUAUAAAUACCACCCUAUGUGUAUUUCCUGUGCCCUCCCUUUUCUCUUUCCUGAGGAGUUAUGGAGAGAAAAUAAAUGCCAGAAUUACAGAAAACUAGGUAUAAAUCUACUCACUAGCUUUAUGGCCUUGCAUCUAUUUCCCAUAUAAGCUGGCAGGGUUGGGAUUCUGUCUAGCUCUUUCCAUUUAUCAUGAUGUCCUCUUUUUGGUUCUUUUAGAUUUUGCAUCGGGUUGAUGUAGUGGAUGCUGUAGUCCACUACCCAGAUUCCUUCCCCAACCCACAACAAUGAGGUUCUCAUUCCGGAGCUGCUAGGAGGGAUGCCAGAUAAUAGCACACAGCUGAACUUCUCUUCAGCUAUUGCCCUCAGAUUAAGAAAGCUGCCUUGCUCAAGGUUACACGCCUUUCCUGGGAAACCAGUAUCCAAUGACUGGUUCCUGUAAAAGGAAUGGAGCUGCCUUAAAAGAGCUGCCUUGCUUCAAUUUGGGAAGACUAUGAAGAGCCAUCCCAGCUCUGGAGUUCUCCGUAGGGUUGGGUUUUUGAGACUAUGCAGAAGUUAUUCCAUGAGUUCCAAGCCCAGGUCAUGAAAGAUAACUUGUAAUAAAUCUGGCUACCCUGAAGCUGCCAUGCUUGAGAGACCACACGAGAUGGAGAGAGAUGCUUAGGAGUCCCAGCUGUCCAAGCCUCCAGCUAUGUGAAUCUUCCCAGCAGCAACUGCCAGACAUGUGGUACACCCAAAAUGACUUUGGGGCUACACUUGGAAUUGGCAAGGUUCCAGAAAACAGAGGGACUAUCAUCAGAGACAGCGCACAAAAAGUGGGAGAAAGGUCACCAGCCUCACUCAUGUUUAGGGCUAUUAUGAAUAAAGCUGCUAUGAACACUUGUUUACAAGUUCUUUGUGAGGACACAUGUUUUCAUUUAUCUUGGGAAAAUACCUAGAGAUGGAACUCUGGGACACAUGGUAAUAAAGUAUAUUGGCAUAAUGCAAGAGUCAAGAUGCAGAAAAUAACUACUGUGUGAUGUCUCUCUCCCAGCUUUAACCCGCCUGAAGGGCAGCACUGAGUUCAACACACUGUCCCACAAUUGUUGCACUCUCACACUGAAGUGAACAGAUUCUUUCUCCGUGCCGUGCAGCUCCCGGCAGAGGAUGAGGGAAGGGUACCAUCGGUGAUUCAGCACUGUGUUUCCUAUCCUCUUCAAUGACUCUUUCAGCGAUAUGAAGGUAAAACCAGGUGAAUGGAGCACAUGGCUAUGCUUUGUUUUAAAUGAAAGUCUUUGUCAUCCAGCGGAGGACUUUAAUUCAUUUACAUUUAUUGACAUAAAUGUUGGUAGGUCUUAUUUCUCUCAUCUUGCUUUACAAUUUCUAUUUUACUGCUUGUAUUGCUUUUAUUUUGAUGCUUCCUUAUUUCUUCAUCUUUAAAGUAUAUGUACUGCUAUUUUCCUACCAUAAUUACAUUUCUCUAAUUACAAAUAUGAAACUCUGAAUCUCUUCCUUACCAAUCCUAUGUAAAAUAAGAAAUUUAUCAAGCUGGUGGGCUUGAUAAAGGGCUUACCCAUUCCUGUUUCUAAACAAACAAUUAUGCUUAUUUAAACAAUCUGUUCCAAACAACUACCAGCAAAAAUGUGAACUGUUCUUCAUUAGUCUACUAAUUGAAUUUUCUAACUAUCCUGAUGCCAGGAACACCAUGUAUCAGUUAUGCCUAAAAUGUCAUUUAAAAAUAAAAUUGCUUGAGGACAAAUCAGAAAUUAGCAUCUUUAACUAUUUAACUAUUUAAUUACUUUAAGGGCUCCUGGUCAUAGUUUCCACAUUCUACUUCCUUCUCUGUUACAGACUUGAAAGCGUGUGUCAGAUCCCUUCACUAUAUCUUCAGACCUGCCCCAAGGAGUGAGGAAGGGCAACACCAAGAACUUCUCUCCAAGGACCAUAACCUGCGAACCCCAUCUCACCUCCUCCUGCCAGAUGGACACAGUCAUUGUCCUCCUGGCUGAUCCCAUGUCCAUGUCUUGCUCUGGCUACUUUCAUACACCCAUAAUGACAUUUUCCAUCUACUCAAUUUUUUAAAAGCUCAGCUCGAACCUCACGGAUUUUCCUGACAAUCUGCUUCUCUCAAUGGCCUUAAUUUAAGUGAGGGUUGUCAGUCUUACUGGGUCUCGUUUUUUGUCUUAAAUAAUAACUAUUUAUGGGUAUCAAGUGUCUCCUCAAUUUGGCUAUGAUCCUUCACGGCAGAAAUACUGUCUUAUCUUGUGAUCAUGGAGUCACAAGAUUUCAUGGCUAGGAAUAUUCGUCAAAUUAAUCCUAGAUUGAGGAUCAGGUAGUAUGUGGUCUGAUUCUAACUCAACAACUUGCAGAAACUCACUUCUUUUUUCUUUUUUUUUCCCCAGGAGGAGCUAUCGUAUUAACUGACGAAACUCACUUCAUUUCUUUGGACCUGCAAAAUGAGGAUGGGCUCUAAACCACCUCUAAAGUUAAUAUUCUAUGAUUCCAUGAUAAGGCUAUUUGUCAUUUAUAAAAAAAGGAACUUCCACAUAGCCCAGAGAAAGGAAAUGACUUUUUCAAGUUUACAGAGUCAAUUAAUGGACGAAAUGUAAUUUGAAAUUCAAUCUCCUGAUCCCCAGUCUAUUGGGAGUUCUUUCAGAAUGUCCCUUGACUGUCCCUCAAAGUGCCAGCAUGUAUGAAACCUUGUUAAGGAUGUAUGCUCAAUGAAAAUACACAAAUUGACUUAACAAGAAACUAAACUCUCCAGAAAGAUGCAGUUGACCCAAAACUCUGAAUAUCUUUUAUGUUUAAAACUUUCUUUUUUGAACAAAAUUGUACAGUUACUUCUCUAUUUCAACUCUUAAGCCUUUUAUGCCACGUCAAAGGUUAGCUCUCUUUUCUCUCUGUUAAUAAAGUCUUAUUCUUGACUUUGGAACUGUAUGCCAA
This 10688-nucleotide long non-coding RNA is filed under the name Homo sapiens (human). Its description in RNAcentral is "HSALNT0314755". The record is from RNAcentral. Lineage: Eukaryota; Metazoa; Chordata; Mammalia; Primates; Hominidae.